CUGUUCUCAGGGCAGGGAGUCAACUGUCUCAUCUGGUCUCAGGGCAGGUUGUCUGAGGGCAGGUGAAUCUCCUGGUCUUAGGGCAGAAGUCGGGUUUAGGGGGUUAGGAUUAAGGUUGUGCCUUGAACUGCAGGCAGGGCUGCCUGGAAGGCGCCAUUAGGGGCUCAAAAUUCCAUCAAGCAAAUAAGAAGUCAGGGGAAAGAUGAAUGCAACCAAGACUUGUAAAUAGGAAAGAGCAAGAUGAAAGGACAUGUUAGUUUUCUUAUUAUUACCCCAUUGCCUGUUUACGUUAUCUCCAGUGUUGUUAGACAUGCUGAAGUCAGUAUACAGUGUCUUUUUCUAAUUUCAGAAUAUGGCAACACACUGGGUGAAUGGGGUUAAAAGACAGUUGAAGAAGCCACGUGACUCCAGGGUCCACCAAGAUGUUCGCAUUAUUAGUGGGGAUGCCAAGGAGUUCAUGGAAGGUUAUAUCAACGAAGUGCAGGAGAAGGAGCAUUGCUACUUCAGACCCCCAGUCUGCCCCCUGCAGGACUACUAUCACUAUGGCUGUGACCGUGGGAAACAUUCUACAGGCAAAAGCAAUGGGGAAGCCACAAAAACCCGGGCCAAUUCUUGCAAGGCAUACAUCUCUUUCAAAGUCAUCACGGACGCCGGAAUAUCAGGUGCCAUAAUCCAAAAGAUGCUACAGCACACUGGCCAUGACGAGGAUAAUUCGAAAGAGAAGAACCGCAUCCUCCCAGACUUGCAUUCCCUGGUCGAAAUAUGGCUUCAACAGGGUUGGUCCACUUCUGAGAUCUUAAUAAGAAGCCAUGAUUGGGCUCAACAAAAUGGCCAUGUGGACAAAAAAGACAGCCGGUUUUACUUGACCCCUUAUGACAUUCGGCUUUUAAAGAAAAACCUCAGAGGUGUGACUGACAGUGAUUCUGUUUAUGUGGACCAUUUGGUUUCCACGGAACUUAUAGACAAAAUCUGGUUUUAUCAGCCACUUCACAAUGAACAACCAUUCAUUGUUGUUGUACAAACACCAUUCCAAAAGCUACUUUUGGAAGAGAACCCCCAUCCAAUGGUUUUCAUGGAUGCCUCAUACAAAGGCAUAACAGCCCACGGGUAUGCAUUUUAUGCACUGUUAUUGAUAAACAAAACUGGAAGAGGCGUGCCAUUUGCCUAUUUUAUCCUGAGUAAGGAAACCACUGCAACAGUAAGCCUCUGCCUACAGAAGCUUCAAUUGAAUAACCCAAGGUCAGUGAUGAUGGACCGUGACUUGAGGGUGCUUAAUGCCAUCAAAAGAGUUUUUCCCAAAUGCAAAGCUUCUCCUUUGCUGGUUCCAUAUGCUUCAGGCUGUCAACCGGUGGCUUGUGAAGACAGAUGGAGGUCACCUGACAGCUGAGCAAAGAAAUGUGGUCAUUCAUGCAAUGGCAUCAAUGAAAGCCUGCCUGACGUUCACAGUCCAGAGGAUGAUAUCCACCGCUAUCGUGUUCGGCGCACCAGGAGCAUGACCCUCUGCCGAAAACCAAAUGACUGCCAUCAUUGGGGCAAUUGUGAUUUAACCUUUGUACUUGUUCAUGUCAAGCCAUGGAAACAGUGCUCUAAUUUAAAAUAAUGUUACAAUUUACAGAGUGAAGUGUCAUGUUUUUCUUAGUAACAUAAUCCAAGCUUGUGUUUAUUCAACCCAGUCUCAUCCCAACGCGUCAAAUAUUGACGCUUGGGCAGAGCCCUUUGGCGUCACUAUACCGACGCCGGGGGACGCCUUUUUCGUCGUUUUUUGACGCCUAGGGACGCCUAGGGACGCCCAUUGCCUUCCACGUUAAUAUGUUCGGCUUUUCCCGUAGAAAAUUGUGAACUAUGGCGUCGUCUUUUGACGCAUUAGGUCUCCCAUAGAUUUUGAUGAGCGGCUUUCGGAUUUUUACGAAACGUCACCAUAAUAAAUCGGGUGAUUUCGUAAAAAUCCGGCCGAUGUGCUUUCAACAGGAUUUUUGUUGUUAUAUCCAAGACAUAAACGUUAUAAAUGACAUAAACCUUAUUUAAGGACAUAAAAGUUAUUUAUAAAAUGGACUGAUACCAAAUAAACCGAUCUAAAAAGGUAGGCCUA
This is an RNA transcript of Hypomesus transpacificus, 2089 nucleotides long. RefSeq lists it as uncharacterized. The record is from RefSeq and is a predicted model, not a curated record. NCBI's taxonomy places the organism in Eukaryota, Metazoa, Chordata, Actinopteri, Osmeriformes, Osmeridae. The transcript has 4 exons.